Molecule: long non-coding RNA, 6112 nt
Organism: Mya arenaria
Lineage: Eukaryota; Metazoa; Mollusca; Bivalvia; Myida; Myidae
Exons: 8
Source: RefSeq, a predicted model, not a curated record
UAUCCAAACUGAAGUACAAAGUGAGUAAGUUUGGUCAAAUAAGCCCAUUGAGACUGUUUGUUCCAUUCCUAAAUGAAUUUCUUUCAUGUUGUCAAUCAUUUCUGAUAUGGCUUUGAUAAUAAUAUUAUUUUCUAAUGAAACUGCUGACUUGUAUCAGUCUUUGGUCUGAAUUGUGCAUCUAUUCACACAUUUUGUUUGUUCUUUUAAGCAAACAUUACAUUAAUCACAAAUUCUAUAAGCAAUUAAACAAAACUUACUUCACAUAGGAUGCAGAAUGAUGUUUUAUUUAGUGUGCAUAUGAUUUUCAGCUUAUGGACAAGAAAACAUCUACUUCAACAAUCACAGCAACACAAUGAGAUCCCAAUUUUAAAGAAAUAAUGCCACCUUUCAUUAAAUCAUUAAUUCAUUCUAUCAAUCAUUCAUAUAUAUUCAUUAAUUAAUACAUUUAUUCUGAUAAUUCAGUUUAUUCAUUGGAAAACUUGACAUUUCUCAAGGCAAAAGAAAUAAAAAAUGAGCAGCUUUCAUAAAGAAUAGAGCCUUUUCCCUUCAUGCAUUAAAAACACAACCUUAAUACAUUAUAAAUGUUUUAAAAACCCUAAUUUUGUGCUUAUUUUAAUAGCUAGCCUGGUUGCUGUAGCCACAGAGGAAUUUUCAAGGACAAGAACCAGUGCUAGUUAAACUGUGUUCUCGUGUGGUUUUCCAUACCGGCUCUCGGCAAGGAUUUUCAAGAAAGGAAUAUCAUCUCCAAAUCAUGAUGUGCCAAUAAGCUGCAGUUAGCUGUGGCCUUUUCCCCAGGCGGUAGUCCUGCAAUCUGAAUCCAGGAGAUGCAGCUCUGAAUCCAAUAUUUCAGAAGAAUGAAGAUGAAGCAGACCCAGAAGGAACUGUUGAAGAACAAGCCAGACAGCCCCCCCCCCCCCCAAGCUGCCCAUCAGGCUGAGCUGUACUUGGUGUUUGCCAACAUGCUGUAAUUUCUAGCCUGGUUGCUGUAGCCACAGAGGAAUUUUCAAGGACAAGAACCAGUGCUAGUUAAACUGUGUUCUCGUGUGGUUUUCCAUACUGCCUCUCUGCAAGGAUUUUCAAGAAAGGAAUAUCAUCUCCAAAUCAUGAUGUGCCAAUAAGCUGCAGUUAGCUGUGGCCUUUUUCCCCAGGCGGUAGUCCUGCAAUCUGAAUCCAGGAGAUGCAGCUUUGAAUCCAAUAUUUCAGAAGAAUGAAGAUGAAGCAGACCCAGAAGGAACUGUUGAAGAACAAGCCAGACAGCCCCCCCCCCCCAGCUGCCCAUCAGGCUGAGCUGUACUUGGUGUUUGCCAACAUGCUGUAAUUUCUAGCCUGGUUGCUGUAGCCACAGAGGAAUUUUUAUGGACAAGAACCAGUGCUAGUUAAACUGUGUUCUCGUGUGGUUUUCCAUACUGGCUCUCUGCAAGGAUUUUCAAGAAAGGAAUAUCAUCUCCAAAUCAUGAUGUGCCAAUAAGCUGCAGUUAGCUGUGGCCUUUUUCCCCAGGCGGUAGUCCUGCAAUCUGAAUCCAGGAGAUGCAGCUCUGAAUCCAAUAUUUCAGAAGAAUGAAGAUGUUAGUCAACUCUGUAGUACUUGUUUGUGUGUAAAUGAUUCCAAUGAGUGAGAUUUAUAGCAAAUCAGGUGUAAAUAAGCAUCUUAUAGACAAUGGUGAAGUGCUGUACUCUGAAUUUAAUGCCAAAUCUAGCCUUCAAAACAGAUUCUUAAAGUAUUUUUUUUAUUUUUAAAAAUGGGCAUAAUAAUGCUAUCUCUGCAUUUUCUACAUCAUGUAGCCACCUCAUACAUGAAAACACUAGCAGUUGUCAUGAAUCUUUAAGUUUUGGUGUGUUUUUUGCCAUUUUCUUUGUUGCUCCAUUUGUCCUGGAAGCCAACAAUUUGGCAUAUAGUGUUGUUUAGACUGUCUAUUAACACAUGAUCACUAAAUUUCUUGUGUUAAACUGAACAGUUCUGUUACCUAAAUGUAUAUAACUGGACCAGAAAAGCAAAAUUUUGACAAGUUGAGGCAUUUCAGUUUGGCUCUUUGUCAUUUUUUAUAUAAAACACUAAGCCGAUGAAGUGGAAAAACCUUAUUUUGCUUAGAAAAAAAUCUUAAAAGAGUAGGUAGGCCAUUUUUGUGGUGCUGUUCUAUUGACACCGUUGAAAGCUACAAGGAAAACUUUACUUGGUCAAAUGAUUCCAAUACAUAAGGAAAUAAUGGCUCUUCAAAGGUUUGCGGCUUAACAUUUGAGGGAAAUGGCUGUUUCUGCUUUUUAUGAAAAUACCACAGGUGCUAAUACUUGUCUGAUUCAUUGAGUGUUUGAUAUAUCAUUGCCAAACUUUCAGUAUGUGUUGCAUAUAGCCUGCAGCUGAACAUUAGGAGUUUUGAAGUCUGUUUCUGAAAAAAUGUUGCUUAAAUAGGCUCAAGACCACAGUUAUCUGCCCCCCGUUGACCAAGAUCCGGAUGUUAAUACAGAAAAAAGAGUGCUUGUAUUCAAGUAUCAAUAUUUUAUUAAAAUUGAAUGAAAAAGAAGCAAAAAAUGUUCUUUUUGCAGAGAACUUGACUGAAUUUGACACUCUAUUGCAGAAAUUGAUAGUUUUCAGUGUAAAUAUUGAAAAAAUCAUAGCUUGUGGAAGUCUGAAAAUUAGUUGUUUAUAGCCGAUUGACUCCUUGGCGGAAGGGUUCUGUAUUUGAACUCAAUUUUGACAGUCGGGUCAAUGGUCAACAUGGUGUUUUCUUGUGAUUAUAUUUUGUGUCUUGAAUUGUUCUAGAGAUGCCAUGUCCUUGUUUUCCAAUUUGGAUGUGCAUAAAGUCAAAAGCCAGGUUAGUGUCUAUAUGAAACAUAACUGUGGUCUCACGCCAUUAACGUUAGAUACCAAACCGCCAAUCGGAACACCUCGGCUAGUAUCAAACAGAUAUGACCUCGAAAAUAAUACGGGUUAUUAUAAAAUAGUCCAAAAAGUCCCCUAAUGAGAAACUAAGUGGAAAUGUCAUUUAUUUUUAGUGGGUGGGGUUAAGUCUGCUUCCAAUUGACUCUUUCUGAGAUAGUGACUGUGAUCAGUGGCAAAAAUUAAGAACACGAAUACUUCAUUUUAUUUCUUUGAAAUAUAAAUAAGUCUGAAUCUGACUUUACUAAGAUUGAGAAAAAGGUUAGACUUUCUUAACUCACUGUAUUUACAAACUCAUUUUUUAUAACUAAAAUUUACAUUUCUUUAACCAGGGACGUUUGGUUUAUAUGUACGUGCUAAAACAUACCUCUUCUCCAAAUAUAAUCUUUGACUGUCAGUGACAUAUUUAAAUAUAUGUAUUCAUCAAUAUUGUAGUGUGGGUGUUGGUAACAAUCAGCUCAAUGAAAUGGCACAUAAUUGGAUGCCUGUUCACUAAUAUAGCUCUCUAAAUAAAUUAGAUCAUCAUGCUAGUCGUCGGCAUUUACUUAACAUUAUAAGGUAUGGCAAAACCCGCUAAAACUACGGUUUUGGACGCACUUUGCGACUUUAGAAACCGGUGACUGAAUAACGUCCCAGCAACACCGAAAAUUGCGCCACGUAGGUAUUAGCAAACCGUAUACAGGCAAAUUGGUCCCAACUUCCGCACGUGCAGAGAUGCUUAGCUAUCUUCGACACGAGGUACCUCAUUUUACAGAAUUUUAGCGCCAUUUUGAUCGUAAACGAGAAAGUUGCACGCGUUAGGAAACGUUGACGCCGGCACGUCAGAGAUGCGCCGACGGUCGCGCCACGUAGGGAAUAAAAAUACCUUAACUGCAAAACCGGUCCCGACCGCCCCGCAAGUGUGGUUCCGGAGUAAUCGUCGGCAUUAACUUUACAUUAUAAGGUAUUGAAAAAAAGCUGAAAAACACCGGUUUUGGACGCACUUUGCGGCCUUAGAAACCGGUAACCGAAUAACGUCCCAGGCAUACCACAAAUUGCGCCACAUAGGUAUAAGCAAACCCCAUACAGCAAAAUUGUUCUUUACUUUCGCACGUGCAGAGAUGCUUAGCUAUCUUCGACACGAGGUGACUCAUUUUGUGGUAUUUUCGGACCAUUUUGAUCGUAAACGAGAAAGUUGCAUGCGUUAGGAAACGUUGACCCCGGCAUGUGUUAAAUGCGCCGACGGUCGCGCCACGUAGGGAUUGGAGAUACCUUAACGGCAAUACCGAUGCCGACCGGCCCGCUUGAGUGAUUCCGGAGAAAUCGUCGGCAUUAACUUUACAUUAUAAGGUAUGGCAAAAACCGCUGAAAAACUACGGUUUUGGACGCUCUUUGCGGCCUUAGAAACCGGUGACCGAAACACGUCCCAGGCACACCGAAACUUGCGCCACGUAGGUAUUUGCAAACCCUACACAGGCAAAGUGGUCCCAAUACUUAUGUGAUAAACAACAGAAACAUGCUCAGUAGAAAAACGUUUUAAUAUAAACCUGGUUUAACUUCGGCACGUGCAGGGGUGCUAAGCCAUCUUCGACACGAGGUACCCCAUUUUACGGCAUUUUUGCGCCAUUUUGAUUGUAAGCGCGAAAGUUGCGCGCGUUAGGAAACGUUGACGCCUGCACACCAGAGAAGCGCCGACUGUCGCCACACGUAGGGAACGUAGAUACGUCAAUAGCAAUACCGGUGUCGACCGCGCCGCAUUUGUGGUUCCGGGGAUAUCGUAGGUAUUAACUUUACAUUUUAACCCUAAAAGAACGAAUAUUUCCCGGUACAAAGCCACGCCCAAUUCUCCGCUAUUUUCGGCGCGAAAAAAAGCGACCUCAUUCACUCGGUAUUGCGGGGCCACCUGGAAGUUAAAACACGACCCAUAUCCCCCGCUAUCCCCGGUAUACACCCGGACCGGAGGGGUGGGGGGUGAGGCGUGGUUACAAUUGACUGGUGUAUUAUUUCAGUGUUAUUUGUAGAAAAUGUUAAUAUGUGCUGAAAUUCAUAUAUUUAUUUCUUUGAGGAUUUGUUUUGGUACCUCUUUGAUUUAGUAUUCAAUGUUCCAUAUUUAGUAAAAACUAUGAUUUUGCUUAAGUUAUAUUUAUUUCUCAAGUCAUAAUUAUUACCGUACAUCUGCAUGUUCUGACUGGCAGAUAUUUUACUGUAUUUAUAAAUAUAAAUAUAUGUUCAGUUAAUAGUAUAAGGGAGAAUACUCAAAUAGUCUGUCUACAUUCACCGUGCAGUAUCAGCCCUUGUAUUAUUUAGUAAGGUUAUCGUAUAAAAUUUCAUCUAAAAUUAUUUUUAAAAAUCUAACUUGAAUUGUUCACAUAACUUUGUAGUUUGAAUACACAUUUAGAUGUUUUAGUUAAUUAAAAACAUUAAGUCUUUCAGUUUAAGGAAUCAGGAAUCUUCAUAAUUUCUAUAAGUGUUUUUUGUUAAAAUAGUUUUUUUAAAUCUCGGAGUCAUUUUAACCUGCUGUAUGUAGACAGGUGUAUUAUUUCUCCCCUACUUUUAAAUUGCAGUAGUAUUUACAUUUAUACUUGUCAAUUGACAACUGUCAGUCACAUGAUAACUGUCAAAGUCACAUGACUUCAUGGUACUAUGGGAUAUUUUUGUUUAUUUGAGUUUAUCAAGGUCUGCCCGCGCCCAUUGGCUGCAUUAUGGCUUGACCCCGCCGUGACGCCAUCACGACUUAAAUUGUGUUUAAAUGCCAUAAGUGACAUGAGAUAGAAGUGACAGCAAUUUGCACCACCUAAAAUGACAAACCCUCUUAACCCUCAAAUCUUAACGGAGCACACACCGAAUGGGCAAGGCCCGAGUGCGAGUAUAAAUAAGCUUACAAACACACGCACUUUUCAAUUUCUACACCCCUUUCUGAUAUUUUACGCUCUUCUCGACGCAAGUUGAUUAAUGAAGCAGUGUCCGAUUUCUGAAUAUAUUUCAAUCAUUAAACAAAAGUUUGUUAUACAAUUUGAUUAAGAUAAAGCAACAACGGCGUACCUGGUAAGCACAAUUACAUUACAUGAGUAUAUCAUUACUUUAACAAAUAACGAUUUAUUUCAAAUUGAAAGAUUUGAGAUUUGUCUUUCCACGUGCAUGUCACGUGCACCAUUUUAUGCCACAUGUUAAUACUAUGUAAUCUUGUAUUGCUUGAAUUGUUUAUUAUAAUUGCAUUUUGUAGUAUUGCAGGUUUUUAAGUUGUGUUUUUGUAAUAAA